AAGGGCCAUUACGAGGGAAGACAGUCCGUGGGGCAAGUCUAUUUUUCCUUGUUUCGAGAUAUGUAAGGGCUUAUGUUUCAAGAUAUUUAAGAACAUUGGAGAGUGUCCUGUGAACAGAAUGAAAAUGAGAAGUGGAAAGAAUCGCUUCAUCGAAUUUCGAUGGUUUGAUAAAAAUCUACUUUUGUUUUUUAAAUGGUUGACUCGGUCUUUAAACUACAUAAACAGCACUCGCCCGGAUGAAUACGUGUUCGGAAUAUCACGCAUAAAUCCAACAUGCAUAGACGCCUUUAUGUCAAUAAUGUCGCGAAUAUGUCCUUCCAAAUCUAUUGUUUAUCGUUGGAAAAAGUAGUAAUUUAACAAUACAGUAGCCUGGAAAUGAGCGGAACUUUAAAAAUUCUCUACCAUUGCUACUUUCAUCGAUCUUCCACUCAAUAAUUAUUAGACAAUUAAAUAAUGUAUUGGGCGAUUAAUGUAGAUUUAAUUAACCGUAAUUUUUUUAUUUAUUUAAAUAAAUGACAAUUAUAACUAUACUUUGUUAAUUUUUUAAAUAAUAUUAUUUACAUUAAAUUUAUUAUCGAUACAGGCGAGUACU
Molecule: long non-coding RNA, 592 nt
Organism: Centruroides sculpturatus (bark scorpion)
Lineage: Eukaryota; Metazoa; Arthropoda; Arachnida; Scorpiones; Buthidae
Exons: 3
Source: RefSeq, a predicted model, not a curated record